UCCACCCAACCGUUGCCCCACACUUGGGGGAGGGGCCUCUUCAGUGGAGAGCCACCCCAUUUAGACACCGCCAAGUAAUCCAUGCUGCUGCUUACCACCCAAAUCAGAACAUAAAGGACCCUGGAGACUUCUGUAACCAAACUGAUGUAACUGGGACUUAAGGGUGCAGGAGCACGGGCUCCCGGAGUCCCAAACAGGGCUGCUGAGAAAAUCCAAAGGCAGAGAGACGAGUUGGUGGUGAAACAAGAAAGAAAUGUAUUUCAGUGAGGUCAACACAGGAAGACAGCGCGCUAGCAUCUCAAAGACAGUCUCCAAGGUGCACCCCCAGGUUUCCUUUGUGAUUAAUGCGGAGAGCAUAUAACUGGAUUUUGUGAUCCCCUUGCCAACGGCUUCACUUUUCGAAGUUUCAGUGACACAUGUUCAACUACUGCCCAUCAGCCAGCGAUCCUCCCUCUGACAUCAGGUCGGAAGAUCAGUCCUGGUGCUAGUUCGCAGUGCGCGCCUCACUCACCUCACAUCAGCCCGUCACAUAGUCGUGUCACCACCUCACAUCAUCACAAGGUGAAGAAGGGUGAGGACAGCACAGUAAGAUACCUUGAAAGACAGACAAUACGAAACUUUCAUUACAGCAUAUUGUUACAUUUGUUCUAUCUUAUUAUUAAUUACUGUUGCUAAUCCUUACUAUGACUAAUUUAUAAAUUAAACGUUACCUAGGUAUGCACACACAGGAAAACAAGUACACGUGGAGUCCAGUUGCUAUCUGGAGUUUCAGGCGCCCACCGCGGGGUAUCCUGCACGCCCCACAGGUCGGGUGGGACAACGGUGUUUAUCCAAUCUGAGAACCUUUUUCUUUUAAUUCCAUAGUUAAACUAUCUACAUUUACUGGAUUAUUAAAUUAUCUGAAUUUGUUUCUAC
This is a long non-coding RNA of Suricata suricatta (meerkat), 915 nucleotides long. RefSeq lists it as uncharacterized. The record is from RefSeq and is a predicted model, not a curated record. The transcript has 2 exons. Lineage: Eukaryota; Metazoa; Chordata; Mammalia; Carnivora; Herpestidae.